UACGUAGGGGGCAAGCGUUGUCCGGAAUCAUUGGGCGUAAAGAGCGUGUAGGCGGCCUUACAGGUCAGCUGUGAAAACUCGAGGCUCAACCUCGAGACGUCGGUUGAAACCGUAAGGCUAGAGUCCGGAAGAGGAGAGUGGAAUUCCCGGUGUAGCGGUGAAAUGCGCAGAUAUCGGGAAGAACACCCGUGGCGAAGGCAGAUCUCUGGGCCGUAACUGACGCUGAGGAGCGAAAGCAUGGGGAGCGAACAGG
This 253-nucleotide ribosomal RNA is filed under the name uncultured bacterium. RNAcentral's name for it is "partial 16S ribosomal RNA". It matches the Rfam family "Bacterial small subunit ribosomal RNA", at positions 524 to 776 of the family's 1533-position model. The record is from RNAcentral.